Molecule: ribosomal RNA, 235 nt
Filed under: uncultured bacterium
Lineage: Bacteria
Description: partial 16S ribosomal RNA
Rfam family: Bacterial small subunit ribosomal RNA
Source: RNAcentral
CGGACGGGUGAGGAACACAUCGGAAUCUACCCUGUCGUGGGGGGACAACGUAGGGAAACUUACGCUAAUACCGCAUACGACCUUUGGGUGAAAGCGGGGGACUCGCAAGAGCCUCGCGCGAUUGGAUGAGCCGAUGUCCGAUUAGCUAGUUGGCGGGGUAAUGGCCCACCAAGGCGACGAUCGGUAGCUGGUCUGAGAGGACGACCAGCCACACUGGAACUGAGACACGGUCCAG